GGCUCAGAACAAACGCUGGCGGCGUGCAUAACACAUGCAAGUCUAACGGGAAUGUCGGCUUCGGCUGACUAGUACCGUGGCGAACGGGUGAGUAACACGUGGGUAAUCUAACCUCGAGUUUGGGAUAACCUUGCGAAAGCGGGGCUAAUACCGAAUAAGACCACGCCUUGUACGCAGGGUGCGGUAAAAGGUGGCCUCUUCUUGAAAGCUAUCACUUGAGGAUGAGCCCGCGGCCUAUUAGCUAGUUGGUGGGGUAACGGCCCACCAAGGCGACGAUGGGUAGCCGGCCUGAGAGGGUGUACGGCCACACUGGCACUGAGAUACGGGCCAGACUCCUACGGGAGGCAGCAGUGGGGAAUUUUGCGCAAUGGGGGAAACCCUGACGCAGCAACGCCGCGUGAGUGAUGAAGGCCUUCGGGUCGUAAAGCUCUUUUAGUGGGGAAGAAGCCCCGCAGGACUAAUACUUCUGCGGUCUGACGGUACCCACAGAAAAAGUUCCGGCUAACUACGUGCCAGCAGCCGCGGUAAUACGUAGGGAGCAAGCGUUGUUCGGAAUUAUUGGGCGUAAAGAGCGCGUAGGCGGUUCGGUAAGUCUGACGUGAAAUCCCGGAGCUUAACUCCGGAACUGCGUUGGAUACUGCCGAGCUUGAGUGUGGGAGAGGAGAGUGGAAUUCCCAGUGUAGAGGUGAAAUUCGUAGAUAUUGGGAGGAACACCGGUGGCGAAGGCGGCUCUCUGGACCACAACUGACGCUGAGGCGCGAAAGCUAGGGUAGCAAACGGGAUUAGAUACCCCGGUAGUCCUAGCCGUAAACGAUGGGCACUAGGUGUUGGAGGUAUCGACCCCUCCAGUGCCGCAGCUAACGCAUUAAGUGCCCCGCCUGGGGAGUACGGUCGCAAGACUAAA
This 904-nucleotide ribosomal RNA is filed under the name uncultured bacterium. RNAcentral's name for it is "bacterial SSU rRNA". It matches the Rfam family "Bacterial small subunit ribosomal RNA", at positions 21 to 898 of the family's 1533-position model. The record is from RNAcentral.